RNAcentral lists this long non-coding RNA (282 nucleotides) under Mytilus galloprovincialis (Mediterranean mussel). The record is from RNAcentral. Lineage: Eukaryota; Metazoa; Mollusca; Bivalvia; Mytilida; Mytilidae.
GUAUCGUCUUGGUACCUGUUUUGACGCGGACCAGAAAUGACGCACCAAUUAAGUUUUGGGUUUUAUAUUUCUAAACAAAAGCUGUGACGUCAUCGAUAAUUACUAUUCAUAACAUGAUGGUGAAGGUCAUAUGACUACAACAUAGAUGCCUCAAACUCUGUCCAGAAAUGUUAGUAUUGCUUGAAUUAGUAAAGAUAAUGCAAUUUCCGCCAUUUUAUUAAGGUCAAAAACAGUCUACCCUUCCCAGAAUGAUUAUCAGUCCUAAAUCCACUUUGGCCGGCA